This 253-nucleotide ribosomal RNA is filed under the name uncultured bacterium. Its description in RNAcentral is "partial 16S ribosomal RNA". It matches the Rfam family "Bacterial small subunit ribosomal RNA", at positions 524 to 776 of the family's 1533-position model. The record is from RNAcentral.
CACGUAGGGGGCAAGCGUUGUCCGGAAUUAUUGGGCGUAAAGGGCGUGUAGGCGGUUAAUUAAGUCAGGUGUGAAAUCCCGGGGCUUAACCCCGUGACUGCACCUGAAACUGGUUAACUUGAGGGCAAGAGAGGAAAGCGGAAUUCCUAGUGUAGCGGUGAAAUGCGUAGAUAUUAGGAGGAACACCAGUGGCGAAGGCGGCUUUCUGGCUUGACCCUGACGCUGAGGCGCGAAAGCGUGGGGAGCAAACAGG